Molecule: long non-coding RNA, 693 nt
Filed under: Homo sapiens (human)
Lineage: Eukaryota; Metazoa; Chordata; Mammalia; Primates; Hominidae
Description: HSALNT0359018
Source: RNAcentral
AGAUGGAAAAGUGAAGCCCAGAAGGAAGGGACCUGACACGGAGGCUUCCUUGGUAGCAUUUCAGUCUCAAGGGAAGAACUGUGGGCCUCCCCUGGAGCACUGGUGAAGUAAGGGGUUGGUUUGGAUAUUGUCUCCUGACUGGGAUAUGGGCAGGACUGACAGGGAGCUGGAGUCCUAACGAAGCCUGGGCUAGGUGCAGGAAGAACCAACCCAGUGGUCUCCUGACAUCUCCCACGCCCCCACCGCAGCUGGGUCACCUCCAGAAUACGGAGGAGAGAGCUGGAGGUGGAGGAACUAAGGACCUUCUUUGCCAGGUGGGGACUUAAAGCAUACAGUGAAGUUGUUCUCUGAAGUUCCUCAUCUGCCUUAAGUCUGGACCCACCAAAGAAGAAAACAAUGACCACUGGUCCCUUCCCGGAGUUUUCUCUGACUGAACUGCUGUCACAGGAAGAAAGACUGAAGCCUGCUCACAUACCUGGACAGAUUUUGCAAACCGUUGUCUGCUCUGUGAGCCCAACAGACUUUGUCCCAGGCCACUGUAUGUUCUUCAAGCCCACUGAAUUCCCCUGAAAAUCAUUUACUAGCCCCCUGAAAUUACCCACACUUCCCCAUUGCUCAUCUGUACCCCAUUUCGUGGUGGGGCAGUCACUCUGAUUUCCCCUUGCAUGCUAAUGAAUGUGUAUUCCAUUUCUA